CCCCAUAUACUACCCACCACUGCGACCUGUACGCUCUCGUUGGCUGGCCCUCGCUUCAUACUCGUCACCAAACCCACUGGCUACAGGUUAUUUACAAGUCUCUGCUAGGUAAAGCCCCGCCCUAUCUCAGCUCGCUGAUCACCAUAGCAGCACCCACUCGUAGCACACACUCCAGCAGGUAUAUCUCACUGGUCACCCCCAAAGCCAAUUCCUCAUUUGGUCGCCUUUCCUUCCAGUUCUCUGCUGCCACUGGCUGGAACGAACUGCAAAAAUCACUGAAGCUGGAGAUUCCCAUCUCCCUCACUAGCUUUAAGAACCAUCUGUCAGAGCAGCUCACAGAUCACUGCACCUGUUCAUAGCCCAUCUGUACACAGCCCAUCUAUCUACCUCAUUCCCAUACUGUAUUUAUUUAUUUUGCUCCUUUGACACCACAGCAUCUCUACUGGCACAUCUACCAUUCCAGUGUUUAAUUUCCAUUUGUAAUUACUUCUCCAUCAUGGCCUAUUUAUUGCCUUAACUCCCUUAUUUGACCUUAUUUGCACUCACUGUAUAUAGACUUUGUUUUCUUUUUUUCUACUGUAUUAUUGACUGUAUGUUUUGUUCAUUCCAUGUGUAACUCUGUGUUGUUGUAUGAGUCGAACUGCUAUGCUUUAUCUUGGCAAGGUUGCAGUUGCAAAUGAGAACUUGUGCUCAACUAGCUUACCUGGUUAAAUAAAGGUGAAAAAUAGCCUGUUUCCUCUCUAGGUUUCUUCCUAGGUUUUGGCCUUUCUAGGGAGUUUUUCCUAGCCACCGUGCUUCUAGACCUGCAUUGCUUGCUGUUUGGGGUUUUAGGCUGGGUUUCUGUACAACACUUUGAAAUAUCAGCUGAUGUAAGAAGGACUAUAUAAAUACUGUACAUUUGAUUUGAUUAGUCCAACCAGCGAUCUUGUUCAAAGUAGUCCAACCAGUGAUCUUGUUCAAAGUAGUCCAACCAGCGAUCUUGUUCAAAGUAGUCCAACCAGUGAUCUUGUUCAAAGUAGUCCAACCAGCGAUCUUGUUCAAAGUAGUCCAACCAGUGAUCUUGUUCAAAGUAGUCCAACCAGCACUCCUGUGAUCGUGUUAAGUUGUACAACCAGCGAUCAUGCUUCAAAUUAGUCCAACCAUCAAUCCAGCGAUCGUGUUCAAAGUAGUCCAACCAGCGAUCGUGUUCAAAGUAGUCCAACCAGCGAUCGUGUUUAAUACACACAUCACAACAAGAAAGACAACACAAAACUACAUAAAGAGAGACCUAAGACGACAACAUAGCAAGGCAGCAACACAUGACAUCUCAGCAUAGUAGCAACACGACAUGGUAGCAGCGUAAAACAUGGUACAAACAUUAUUGGGCGCAGACAACAGCACAAGGGGCAAAAAGGUAGAGACAACAAUACAUCACGCAAAUCCCCCCCCCAAAAAAAUCCACUGCAUUUCAGCCCUGCAACAAAAGGACCAGCUGACAUCAUGUCAGUGAUUCUCUCAUUAACACAGGUGUGAAUGUUAAAGAUAUUGACACAGGUGUGAAUGUUAAAAUAUUGACCCUUUGCAUCAACUUCAUGUAAUUGUCAAUAAAAGCCUUUGAAACAUAUGAAAUGCUUGUAAUUAUACUUCAGAUUUCCAAAGUAACAUUUGACAAAAAUAUUUAAAGAUACUGAACUUGUUUAACUUGCCUUGUUGGUUAAGGGCUUGUAAGUAAGCAUUUCACGGUGAAGUCUACACUUGUUGUAUUCGGCGCAUGUGACAAAUAAAGCCUAAUUUUGAUUUCACUUUCAUGUAGAAAAUAGUAAAAAUAAAGAAAAUACCUUGAAUGAGUAGGUGUGUCCAAACUUUUGACUGGUACUGUAUAUAUAAUUUAAGUCCAGUAAUGGUAUGUAAUAACUAUAGAUGGCCCCUUUAAGUCUAUCAAAAGUGUGCAAGUUUGAGCAUGUGUCCAUUAGGCCUAUGGAAUAGGCAUGAAUUAAUUUAUCAGCAUGAAUUAGAUUUUGAGCAAUAAAAGCCACACUUUCAUUCCGUAGGCUUGGAUCCAAACUAUGCAGCUGUUGCAAGAGCACAUUUUUCAAUGACUGCCCACUAGUUUCAAAAACAAUGAUUGACAGGCAGCUUAAACUUCUUGAGUUCAACUACGUAUUUAGAUUUG
This is a long non-coding RNA of Oncorhynchus tshawytscha (Chinook salmon), 2152 nucleotides long. The record is from Ensembl. Lineage: Eukaryota; Metazoa; Chordata; Actinopteri; Salmoniformes; Salmonidae.